AUCCCAGGCUGGAGUUCAGAAGUCUCUGUAACACUCACCCCCCUCUUCCCUGCCUGGCCCUUCCCUUUCGCUUUAGCCUGGCAGGAAGAGGCUGUUGCUGUUUGCUUCAGGAAGAGCUCACACAAAGAGACAGUGCCACACCUUACCCUGGCCCCCUCUUUCCCCGCUGCUCCAAAGAGUGAAGCUCACAGUCUGGUUAAGGAGACAAGACAAGGCUGGGACCCCUGACAGUCGAUCAAGAGCAGAACAGCGAGGCUGUGUCUUGUCAGGGUGUCUGGGGCUGUGGCUGGAACACCACACGGAGCCCACUGGACUGGCUCGUUGAGUCCUGAAUUGGCCCCUGGCUCACUGUGUAGCCUCAGCCUCAGUUUCUUCAACUGAAAAAUGAGAAUCGUGUUCACCCACUCUGCCUGUCAGGACUCUGGUGAGAAUCCAGUUAGAUGAACUGUUAUGAUGCCUAAGAACAACGACUAUUUGGACAGUGUCUUGCUGUAUACCCACAUGAUCUCACUUGUCCUUCCAGCAACCCCAUGAGCAAUGAAAGAAACAAGAUCGUUGAACCAUGUCUACAGGCUAUUGAGGGAAACAGGCUGUGAAUCAAUAAUCCUGAAUCCAGCACGGGCAUCAUUCAUCUGGCAGCGUAAAAGGAAAACAUUUUCAAACAUAUGAAGAGUCAGAAAAACUACCACACAUGGACUCCACCCAACGAAAAUAUUUUAUCAAAUCGAGAAUGGAAUUGGAAUAGAGAGCCUCAAGACAGAGAAGUGGGACAGUCCAGGAGACGGUGGUGAGCAGUGACUCUGACCACACACAUAAUUAAAACUAAAGGGAUGCUAAUAACAUGCCUGGGAUCUCUAGUACCAAGUGAGGAGGAUUCUUGAAACAGAUGAAACACACAAUUAGGCAAAACCUAAAAAUAGACUGUAGCCUUAGAAAUUAUCUUGCUCCUUGUGAUUCUGUUUGUGAUUAGGUAAGAAUUGGUAUAAAACAUUUUGCCAGAUGCAAGCAUGAAUGUGGGCUGGCAAGAGAGGAAAUAAAAGCAAACAGUCUUUGUAUUAAAGUCAAAUACAGAACAACUAGAGAGUAGGUAAGUAACCAACUAGAUCUAACAGACAUACAGAGCACAUUCUACCCAAAGGCAGCAGCGUGCAUUCUUCUCAAGUGCAUGUGGGAUAUUUUCCAGGACAGAGCAUAUGAUAGAGCUACAAAUGAAGUCCUAAUAGAUUUUAAAUGAUAGAUACCAUACAAAGUAUCUUCUGUGACCACAGCAGGGUGAGUUAGAAAUCAGCAACAGAAGUAAAACUGGAAAAUUCUCAAAUUUGUGGAAAUUAAACAACACUCUUAAACAACCAAUGGAUCAAAGAAGAAAUCACAAGGGAAAUUAGAAAAUACUUAGAGAUGAAUGAAAAAAAUGCAACGUAACAAAACUCAUCAAUUAUACCUCGAUUAAAAAAAUUAAAAUUUAAAUAAAAUACUUAGAUGCAGUGAAAGCAGUGCUAACGGGGACAUUUAUAGCUAUACAUGUUUACAUAAAAAAAACAAGAAAGACCUCAAAUUAAAAGCCUAAUUUUAGAGCUUAAGAAAUUAGAAAAGGAACAAACUAAACCCAAAGCUCGUAGGAGGAAGGAAACGAUAAAGAUUAGAGUGAAGAUAAAUGAAAUAGAGAAUAGAAAAAUAAUAAAGGUCAAUAAAACCAAAAGUUGGUUCUGUGACAAGAUCAACAAAGCUGACAAACCUUUAGCUGCACGGAACAGGGAGCAAAAGAGAGAAGACUCAGAGCACUAAGAUCGGAAAUGAAAGUGAGGACAUCACAACUGGUUUUACAGAAAUAAAAGAAAUUAUGUGUGUGUGUGUGUGAGAGAGAGAGAGGAAAUGAAGUAUAAUAUUGAUAUCUAGAAAUGUUUGUAUGAGCAGUUUUGACCCCCAAAAGUUAACUGACCUUAGAUUACCAGUGUCAGUAUUUACUAUAAAACGUUUACAUAUGUCAUACUAC
This is a long non-coding RNA of Camelus dromedarius (Arabian camel), 1993 nucleotides long. RefSeq lists it as uncharacterized. The transcript has 4 exons. The record is from RefSeq and is a predicted model, not a curated record. NCBI's taxonomy places the organism in Eukaryota, Metazoa, Chordata, Mammalia, Artiodactyla, Camelidae.